GAUUCAUGAGCACUACUUCCACUUCUCUCUCUAUAAAUUCCUCUCUCUCUCUUCUCCUUUUUUUUUUUCACCUGACACAAACACCACUUAUUCUUCUUCUUUCUCUUUUCCCACUUCCUCUUCUUCAUAUUACCCUCGUUUUGCUUCUGCCGGAUUCCCUCUCCUCCAAUCAUUUGGACCGAAACCCAUCACACCCAUUUGCAAAAGAUCAAAUCUUUGCACCUUCAAAGGCUCAAACACUCUGAGAAGAAGGAAAAGUUCGUACCUUGGAGCUACCAACAAAAAAAAAUGACCACAGCUGGGGAUAGUUUGCUUCAAGUUGUUGAGGAAGAAGAAGAUUCUCCUCCUGAGUCUGCUUUGCUUGAUCCUGAGAACAAUUCUACGUCAAGAAGAAUCGCACUUUUCGUUGGGCCUUCUCCAUUUGCCUACACUCAUAUGAAGAGGAAAUCAUCAAGAAUUGGAGAUCUGCUUUAAAGAAGGCAGCAAACUUUGGUGGAUUUCAUUAUACAUCCAAAUACCGAGAUGUUGGGACUUGGGACGACUUGAGGUCAAUGUCUUUCAGCUAACAAGUAAGGAGCAGUGGAGCACCACACAAUCUAAAAGGGAAUACAGUGAAUGAAGCUGAAUAAUGAUGCCAGUUUCGAAAAAAAAGAUCAAAAACUUGUUUUAAUUUAUUCUGAAUCAUCAACUAUUACUGUGUUGCAGAUCCAUAGUCGGAAGUCUUUCAUGCUGAGCACGCCAUAGGAAAAGGAGGACUUUUGUUGGAGCUUUAAUCUUCCAGGGAUUGAGCUUUAAGAGUUCCCUUGAGCAUUUUUGCUUAAAAGCCUUCCACAAAAGCUAUCCUGACAAGGGAUAUGAAAAGCUUCCCUUGCGCCAAAACUUCCCUCUGCGGUGCCCAUUUUACGAUUCUACCCUUCUCUCUUGCUGCACUUUCCACUUCUUCCAGAAUUGACUUGAUAGUUUCUGGUCUUAUCACCCAUAGAAACCUCUGUUCGUUGUUUGCUAAGCCGUAGGCCACUUCGAUUAGUUCCUUCUAUUCCCAGCUCGCUAUGCUUCCUAAACUGACGUACACAACUGAACGAACAAGAGCCGCUUUCAGUUCUGUACGCUAGUUUAGGAAGCAUAGCAAGUUGGGAAGAGAAGGAACUAAUCGAAGUAGCGUACGACUUAGCAAACAGCGAACAGAGGUUUCUAUGGGUGAUAAGACCAGAAAUGAUCAAGUCAAUUCCGGAAGAAGUGAAAAGUGCGGCGAGAGAGAAGGGUAGAAUAGUAAAAUGGGCACCGCAGAAUAAGAUAUUAUAAUUUGCUUUUACUUUGAGGGCUAUAUUGUCACAAUUCAUUGAGUAACAGAUGCAAGGAUAUGAAUAAUUCCACAGGGCUGGAUUUCAGAAAUCUAACAUGAAAAGAUUGCCUCACCAUUGGCACCAGAGAUGGAUUCAGAAUAUUUAAUACCAAUACAGGAAGGCUUUGUCACCAAACAUGUGUUGGAGGUUUUAUUAUUGUUGAGAUAUUGUUCAGCUCAAGUCUUCUUGCUAUUGUUGGUGUUGGUGAUAAGACUCGUUCUCAUUUUACAAGACAAGGCAUAUACAUAUAUGAAUUAAAUAGUCUCACAGUCUUGGAGACUAUUGACACACUGCCAAACAUUGAUGAGGCUGGAAUUAAUACUGAUGGGAUUCCGUUCAAUUAGUAGAGUUUGUGAUAAGCACUACUUUUGUAAUGGGUGCAUGUCUAAUUUUUAUAAAUUGUGUUCUUGCAUAUAUAGCAUUGACAGUACUAAAAAUAACAGUGUAGAACCUCUCAUUUUGAUAUCUUGUAUUAUCCAUA
Arachis duranensis is the source of this 1824-nucleotide long non-coding RNA. RefSeq lists it as uncharacterized. The transcript has 6 exons. NCBI's taxonomy places the organism in Eukaryota, Viridiplantae, Streptophyta, Magnoliopsida, Fabales, Fabaceae. The record is from RefSeq and is a predicted model, not a curated record.